Molecule: non-coding RNA, 95 nt
Organism: Mycena latifolia
Lineage: Eukaryota; Fungi; Basidiomycota; Agaricomycetes; Agaricales; Mycenaceae
Source: the annotation of a GenBank genome assembly
GAUCCAGUGGCGAAGUGGUAUCGCGUCCGCUUUACCUCAGUGAGACAAUCUCGGAGUUUCUGCGGAAGACACCCGUUCGAUUCGGGCCUGGGUCA